GAUGAAGAACGCAGCGAAAUGCGAUACGUAGUGUGAAUUGCAGAAUUCAGUGAAUCAUCGAAUCUUUGAACGCACAUUGCACCUCUCGGUAUUCCGGGAGGUAUGCCUGUUCGAGUGUCAUUUGUACCCUCAAGCUCUGCUUGGUGUUGGGUGUUUGUUCCGCCUCUGUGUGUGAACUCGCCUCAAAACAAUUGGCAGCCGGCGUACUUGUUUCGGAGCGCAGCACAUUUUGCGAUCCAGAUCAACGUACAGCGGCAUCCAAGAAGCCUUAUUUAACGCUCUUGACCUCGGAUCAGGUAGGGAUACCCGCUGAACUUAAGCAUAUCAAUAAGCGGAGGA
RNAcentral lists this unclassified non-coding RNA (339 nucleotides) under soil metagenome. Its description in RNAcentral is "partial contains 5.8S ribosomal RNA, internal transcribed spacer 2, and large subunit ribosomal RNA". The stretch from base 1 to 120 matches the Rfam family "5.8S ribosomal RNA", at positions 35 to 154 of the family's 154-position model. The record is from RNAcentral.